Molecule: ribosomal RNA, 472 nt
Filed under: uncultured Entrophospora
Lineage: Eukaryota; Fungi; Glomeromycota; Glomeromycetes; Entrophosporales; Entrophosporaceae
Description: SSU rRNA
Rfam family: Eukaryotic small subunit ribosomal RNA
Source: RNAcentral
AGCAGCCGCGGUAAUUCCAGCUCCAAUAGCGUAUAUUAAAGUUGUUGCAGUUAAAAAGCUCGUAGUUGAAUUUCGGGAUUGACGUGAUGGUCGUGCCUUAAGGGGUAUGAACUGUCGCUGUUGAUUUCUCACCUUCUGGAGAAACUUGAUGUCCUUAAUUGGGUGUCUUGCGGAUCCAGGACCUUUACCUUGAAAAAUUAGAGUGUUUAAAGCAGGCAUUUUUGCUCGAAUACAUUAGCAUGGAAUAAUAGAAUAGGACGGCAUGGUUCUAUUUUGUUGGUUUCUAGGAUCACCGUAAUGAUUAAUAGGGAUAGUUGGGGGCAUUAGUAUUCAAUUGUCAGAGGUGAAAUUCUUGGAUUUAUUGAAGACUAACUACUGCGAAAGCAUUUGCCAAGGAUGUUUUCAUUAAUCAAGAACGAAAGUUAGGGGAUCGAAGACGAUCAGAUACCGUCGUAGUCUUAACCAUAAACUA